GACGAACGCUGGCGGUGGGCUUAACACAUGCAAGUCGAACGGAAAGGCCCUGCUUUUUUGCUGUUCUCGAUGGGCGAACGGGUGAGUAACAGGAGAGUAACCGGCUCUUGUCUUUGGGAUGACUUCAGGAAAGUGGGCUUAAUAUCGUAUAGCAGCCGCUGUACCAGUGAGGGCGGUGGAAAUUUUCGGCUGUUGCGGAUGGAUUAGCGGCUGUUCAGCUAGUUGGUGGGGGAGUGGCUUACCAACGCUUUGGCGGGUAGCCGGCAGGAGAGGGUGAACGGCGACAUUGGGACUGAGAUACGGAGCAGAGUGCUACAGGAGGCAGCAGUGGCGAAUCUUGCACAAUGGGAGGAAGUCUGAUGCAGCAACGCUGCGUGCGGGAUGCCGGCCUUCGGGUUGUAAACAGCUUUAGGCUAAGACCAAGCGUGAGUGACGGUACUGGGUAAAGAAGCACCGGCUAACUACGUG
This 468-nucleotide ribosomal RNA is filed under the name uncultured bacterium. RNAcentral's name for it is "partial 16S ribosomal RNA". It matches the Rfam family "Bacterial small subunit ribosomal RNA", at positions 28 to 507 of the family's 1533-position model. The record is from RNAcentral.